GACAGAGGUGCCAAGCGUUAGGCGGAAUCACUGGGCUUAAAGCGUGUGUAGGCGGAUGCCUAAGUAUCUUGUGAAAUCCCACGGCUCAACCGUGGAACUGCUGGAUAUACUGCUUGUCUUGAGGCACUUAGGGGCAGCUGGAACAAAUGGUGGAGCGGUGAAAUGCGUAGAUAUCAUUUGGAACGCCAAAGGCGAAAGCAGGCUGCUGGGAGUGAUCUGACACUGAGACGCGAAAGCCAGGGGAGCAAACGGG
Molecule: ribosomal RNA, 253 nt
Filed under: uncultured bacterium
Lineage: Bacteria
Description: partial 16S ribosomal RNA
Rfam family: Bacterial small subunit ribosomal RNA
Source: RNAcentral